UAACUGAUUGCGAAGUUUUGGCUAGCUUCUUACUGACAAAAGGUGUUCCUGCUGACGUUGUGGAUAUCUUGAAGGAUGAAUUGGUCGACGACAGGACACUUCUCAGAUUGACAGGCACUGAUUUGAGGUUAAUGAAUAUUAAAACCGGACCAGCAUACAAGAUUUUGGAAAUAAUUGAAGAUUCUUCCGCUAUGGUGGAGUGUAUUGUUCAAGAAGAUGGGUCCAUUAUUGCAAGUGAAUCAAACAAUUGUACUGAUGAAGAAGUGUCUCAAGAGAUCAUGCAAAAACCGAGCUGUUCAACGGAUUCUCCUCAAGCAUCAGUUUCAAAGUUGAUAAAGAAAGAAAGUGAGUCUACGGACAAAACUUUAUGAUGUUCGAUCAUGGAUCAAGGAAUUGGACAAAGAGAAUAAGUCAAAGAAAAGUUUAGUAAAAAUCUUAGAUUCAGGUAUUGUGAAAGAUGUGGAUUACCAAGCUCUUGUCAGAAAUGUUAUGUCUCACCUAAAACUAGAAUGUGGAGAUGCUUAUCCGUCUAAAGAGAUGAAAACUAAAGCAGCAAAGUCGAUAAUCACUUCUUUCCCAAAGCUAAAAUCUACUACUGGUUGUGGUUAUGAACAUUUUUACAAUGAAAAGUUGUCUUCUGGUUUUCUUGGGUGGAGGUUAAAAACCACGAGAAAGACAUUAAAAAGUUCUGAGAAGAAAAGGACAAGAGGUAAGAAGAGACCUUUGACAGAUAGUUCAAUUGUACAAGUUGAAUUGAGUUUAGAAGAUUAUGAAUCAAAAAUACGUAAACACAUUAACUAAUGUCAAUAUUAUGAUUGCAUUAAUUAUUGAUCCAUCAACAGGUUUCGGAGUUGCAGUUCAAAAUGCCUAAUGACACGAACAAGUUUUCAAUACUACUGUUAAUGGACGAAACCAGAUCUAAUAGGCAGCAAUGGAUAAAAGAUCCUGAAAACCAUUUAACGCUGAAUGAAAUUUUGAAUAAGUUUCCACGUUUUACUGACUUUAAAGGAGAAUUGAUACUUAGAGAAUUUCAAUAUCAGAUCACUGACAAAGUCACUUUCUUGGGAACGUUCCCAUCGUACUAUGCUCCACGGAUUCUGAAGUACUGCAAAGUUACAAAGCCACAGCUUUUAGAUCAAAUACGAUACAUAGCAGAUCCAAACAUGAAAGCCCUUCUAAUACUGCCAAAUGUCUUGCCGAGUCCAAAUUACAUGAGAAGA
RNA transcript from Nasonia vitripennis (jewel wasp), 1220 nucleotides. RefSeq lists it as uncharacterized. The transcript has 7 exons. The record is from RefSeq and is a predicted model, not a curated record. Lineage: Eukaryota; Metazoa; Arthropoda; Insecta; Hymenoptera; Pteromalidae.